AGAGUUUGAUCCUGGCUCAGAACGAACGCUGGCGGCGUGGAUAAGACAUGCAAGUCGAACGGGACAGUCUUGUAGCAAUAUGAGACUGUUCAGUGGCGAACGGGUGCGUAACACGUGGGUCACAUUCCGGGAAGUGAGAAAUAGCCCAGGGNAAACUUGGAUUAAUAUCUCAUGUGGUCGCAAGACUAAAGGCGCAAGCCGCUUCCUGAUUGGCCCGCGGCCUAUCAGCUUGUUGGUGAGGUAAUGGCUCACCAAGGCAGCGACGGGUAGCUGGUCUGAGAGGACGACCAGCCACACUGGAACUGAGACACGGUCCAGACACCUACGGGUGGCAGCAGUCGAGAAUCUUUCACAAUGGGGGAAACCCUGAUGGAGUGACGCCGCGUGGAGGUUAAGGUCUUCGGAUUGUAAACUCCUGUCAUGCGAGAACAAAGCCCGCAAGGGUGUGAUAGUACCGCAAGAGGAAGAGACGGCUAACUCUGUGCCAGCAGCCGCGGUAAUACAGAGGUCUCAAGCGUUGUUCGGAAUUACUGGGCGUAAAGGGUGCGCAGGCCGCGCGGGCAGUCAAAUGUGUAAUUCAGGGGCUCAACCCCUGCACUGCGCUUGAUACUUCCGCGCUCGAGCUUUGGAGAGGAGUCUGGAAUUCUCGGUGUAGCAGUGAAAUGCGU
Molecule: ribosomal RNA, 668 nt
Filed under: uncultured bacterium
Lineage: Bacteria
Description: bacterial SSU rRNA
Rfam family: Bacterial small subunit ribosomal RNA
Source: RNAcentral